This 1004-nucleotide ribosomal RNA is filed under the name Umbelopsis westeae. Its description in RNAcentral is "LSU rRNA". It matches the Rfam family "Eukaryotic large subunit ribosomal RNA", at positions 37 to 963 of the family's 3401-position model. The record is from RNAcentral. Lineage: Eukaryota; Fungi; Mucoromycota; Umbelopsidomycetes; Umbelopsidales; Umbelopsidaceae.
AGCAUAUCAUAAGCGGAGGAAAAGAAACUAACAAGGAUUCCCUCAGUAACGGCGAGUGAAGCGGGAAGAGCUCAAAUUUAAAAUCUGGUUUACUUGUAAAUCCGAGUUGUAGUCUGAAGAAACGUUUUCCAUAAGCACUGAGGCAAAAGUCCCUUGGAACAGGGCAUCAUAGAGGGUGAGAAUCCCGUCCAUGGUCUCAAGUUGUUUAUUUUGUGAUACGUUUUCAAAGAGUCAGGUUGUUUGGGAAUGCAGCCUAAAAUGGGUGGUAAAUUUCAUCUAAAGCUAAAUAUUGGCGAGAGACCGAUAGCGAACAAGUACCGUGAGGGAAAGAUGAAAAGAACUUUGAAAAGAGAGUUAAACAGUACGUGAAAUUGUUGAAAGGGAACCGUUUGAAGCCAGUCUUACUUGCUCGUGAUCAAUUUUUGCUUCGGCAUGAAUGCACUCUCGGGUAUGGUAGGCCAACGACAGUUUAGAAUGCGAGAAAAAAAUUUGGGAAAUGUGGCCUUCGGGUGUUAUAGUCCCUUAUAAAAUAUCGUGUUCUGGACUGAGGAUCGCAGCAAAAAUGUGGGCAGGUGGAUUUCUGUGGUGACUGUCGGUUAGGACAACUUGUUGACCUAGUCUUCCUUAGCCUCACUAUUUACCUUGCUUCUAAUUUGCUUAGGUCGUUGGCAUAAUGGCUUUAAAUGACCCGUCUUGAAACACGGACCAAGGAGUCUAACAUAUAUGCGAGUAUUUGGGUGACAAACCCAUAUGCGCAAUGAAAGUGAAAUUAGGUGCCAAACCUUCACGGGUGGCAGCAUCGGCCGGCUCUGACGUUUUAACUGACGAGUCUGAGCAGAAGCAUACAUGUUGGGACCCGAAAGAUGGUGAACUAUGCCUGAAUAGGGUGAAGCCAGAGGAAACUCUGGUGGAGGCUCGUAGCGAUUCUGACGUGCAAAUCGAUCGUCAAAUUUGGGUAUAGGGGCGAAAGACUAAUCGAACCAUCUAGUAGCUGGUUCCUGCGA